AAGCUACCAUACAAUGCCUUCAAAGAUUUCAAGAAAGCAGAAGAAGGCAUAGAUUACUUUUUACAAGACUUGGAGCGUCAGUGCCUACUCCAAGUAGCUGUCGACAUUAUAGUUGUGCAGGCACUUUGGUGACUCUAGAGAACCUCGGGCCAAUCUCACAUCCCCGUGACGGCGACGACGCAUUUGGAUGUCUGCCCUAUCAACUUUUGAUGGACUUUCUGCGCCUACCAUGGUGACCACGAGUAAUGGGGAAUGAGGGUUCGAUUCCGGAAAGGAAGUCUGAGAAAUGGCUACAUCCAAGGAAGGCAGUAGGCGCGCAAAAUUCCCACUCCCGACACGGUGAGGUAGUGA
This 351-nucleotide ribosomal RNA is filed under the name Pelobates cultripes (western spadefoot toad). It matches the Rfam family "Eukaryotic small subunit ribosomal RNA", at positions 167 to 470 of the family's 1831-position model. The record is from RNAcentral. Lineage: Eukaryota; Metazoa; Chordata; Amphibia; Anura; Pelobatidae.